AAGAAAGGGGUGGGGGGUGAGAGUGAGAAGUCUUUAACUGGAGUACAGUUUCAACAUUUUAUCAUUCGGAGCUCCCCAUCCUCUAUGGCACGGAUGUUUAUAAGCUCCAGUACUAGAGCCAACUAUAGAGCCACUAUAUUUCUGGGAAGUUAAGGUGAUGGACUUAUUGAGCUGUCCACAGCUGUAGCUCAACCGAGACACUUAGUAAGGGUGUCAGAUGUUGUGGAAAAUUAAAUCAAGCCAAAAUCCUAUUCAUCAUCUCAUCAGAACAGGAAAUGGAUACUUGAGCAUGUUUCCUGCCAUGACUCUCUGUGCUGUUGGAAUGCCCAGUUCCCAAUGCGCUCUAAGUCCUCAUGGUGGUGUAGUGACUCGCCUCAAUCCAGGUGGCGGAGGACGAAUCUCAGUUACCUCCGCGUAUUAGACCGUCAAUCCAUGCAUCUUAUCACGUGGCUUGUUGAGCACGUUACUGCGGAGACAUAGUGCAUAUGGAGGCUUCACGCUAUUCUCCACGGCAUCCAAGCACAACUCACCACGUGCCCCACCGAGAGCGAGAACCACAUUAUAGCGACCAGGAGGAGGUUACCCCAUGUGACUCUACCCUCAAUAGCAACCAGGCCAAUGCUGGGCCUCAUGUAUUUAGACAGAAGACAAAGGCAGGCCUAACACAGUCGUAAAAUCUGACUGAGGCCCACACACAAAGUCAUAAAUCUUACUGAUAAAAACCGCACCAAAAUCAAACAAAGGGAGUCCAAAACAGACUACAAAUCCCAUGAAGCCUUGCUCACUAAAAGAUUGAACUCUCAACUGCUAUUGGAUGAGGCACACAACAGAACGGCCCUCAACCAUGACGUCAUAGAAAUAACUCUGAGAUCCUUCCGGGAUUUGCUUCCAGCAACUUUGCUCACCGUGUGUAGAUCAUCACUGCUCUCAGGUGUAGCCUCGUGGCACAAGGAAGUAACAUCCGACUUGAAACUGUGGCCAUACAAUCUCCAUCUCACUGGAUGAGUUGAGAUUACUCUGUGUUCCACCGAACACUCUAACGGAUCCAAAGGAGACCGCCAAGAAAUCCACAUCUUCAUCCGUUUGCCUGCAGAAGUGAAGAGAAAAAGAUUUCUCUUCCCUCUUUAAUCAAGUCGACGUCGCUGAUUUCUCCGCCAGCCUGCCGAGAAUCAGCAGCCAUACCGCCCUCCGACAGAGCGAGGAAACAGCCUCCCGUCAUCACCCGAGCCUUGAGGGACCGAGUCGGAGUUAAAGGACAGAUGAACACACAUUCUACCUGCGUCCUCAUAUGAUUCAAGUAAGAGGUUUACGUCUGGGCAGAAAUAGAAUAUUAUAGUGUGUUAUUCUUAUGUAUCAAGGUUAUUGCUUGUACAGUUUACGGACUGCCGUGUCCGCUCAUUGCUGCUAAUAAUACUCAAGGUAUUACUGUAAUGUACUGUUAUCACGUAUGAGAUCUGCUGUGUUGUAGUCCAACCACAUUGGACUGUUAUGUAUUUCCGCCAUCGCGGGUGAGACCAGCACACUGAGUUUAUCCAUUAAAGAACCAAAGACUGCAGGAUGGUUUACGAGCCGUCUACCACGUCUCUGAGUGAUAAACUAACAGCUGCUUUCUCUCCCACGAUCGUGAAACCGGCUUUGGUGUCGCCACUUUAUUCUCUCUCUCUCUCUCGUACUAACCACACACACACGCGACCCCUCACAAACAUUCUCGCACACACUUUUGGCUAGUAGAUAACUUUGUGAUAAAGCUCAGCUUUGUCCCUAAGUUAUCGUACAAGCUGAGACGCGGUAAAUGGGCAAACGCCAUUAUCUGGCUUCUCUCUGCCCACAUUUGUGGCUAUAUUCUCUGGCCGGAAAUCUCGUGUGAUGUACUCUCCACGAGAGUCACGUCUGCCAUUUUGUGCGUGUUACACCUUACACACACACUCACACACACACACACACACACACACAAACACACACACACACCUGCCUUCCUCUCAUAUGUUAUAGGAUUAUUUUGGUUACCAUAUCUAAUCAUGUCACUGUUUAGUUUGUAGUUGUAAGUCGGAAGUUUAUUGACUGCAUUGUAUUGAUUA
Long non-coding RNA from Myxocyprinus asiaticus (Chinese sucker), 2078 nucleotides. RefSeq lists it as uncharacterized. Lineage: Eukaryota; Metazoa; Chordata; Actinopteri; Cypriniformes; Catostomidae. The transcript has 4 exons. The record is from RefSeq and is a predicted model, not a curated record.